RNAcentral lists this ribosomal RNA (253 nucleotides) under uncultured bacterium. RNAcentral describes it as "partial 16S ribosomal RNA". It matches the Rfam family "Bacterial small subunit ribosomal RNA", at positions 524 to 776 of the family's 1533-position model. The record is from RNAcentral.
UACGUAGGGACCAAGCGUUGUCCGGAAUCAUUGGGCGUAAAGCGCACGUAGGCGGAUUGUUAAGUCGGGGGUGAAAUCCUGGAGCUCAACUCCAGAACUGCCUUCGAUACUGGCGAUCUCGAGUUCGGGAGAGGUGAGUGGAACUGCGAGUGUAGAGGUGAAAUUCGUAGAUAUUCGCAAGAACACCAGUGGCGAAGGCGGCUCACUGGCCCGAUACUGACGCUGAGGUGCGAAAGCGUGGGGAGCAAACAGG